Molecule: transfer RNA, 72 nt
Filed under: bacterium
Lineage: Bacteria
Description: tRNA-Val
Rfam family: tRNA
About the family: Transfer RNA (tRNA) molecules are approximately 80 nucleotides in length. Their secondary structure includes four short double-helical elements and three loops (D, anti-codon, and T loops).
Source: RNAcentral
GGGCACAUAGCUCAGCGGUAGAGCGCUUCGUUCACAUCGAAGAGGUCUUUGGUCCAAUUCCAAAUGUGCCCA